UCCUGAUAAAGGAGUCUUUUGCUUGUCCUAAAAGCACAGGUGAAUAAGGGGUGGGCAAGUCUGGUGUCAGCCGCCGCGGUAAUACCAGCACCUCGAGUGGUCAGGACGUUUAUUGGGCCUAAAGCAUCCGUAGCCGGCUUUGCAAGUCUUCGGUUAAAUCCACCUGCUCAACAGAUGGGCUGCUGGAGAUACUACAAAGCUAGGGAGUGGGAGAGGCAGACGGUAUUCAGUGGGUAGGGGUAAAAUCCUCUGAUCCAUUGAGGACCACCAGUGGCGAAGGCGGUCUGCCAGAACACGUUCGACGGUGAGGGAUGAAAGCUGGGGGAGCAAACCGGAUUAGAUACCCCCGUAGUCC
Molecule: ribosomal RNA, 355 nt
Filed under: uncultured bacterium
Lineage: Bacteria
Description: bacterial SSU rRNA
Rfam family: Archaeal small subunit ribosomal RNA
Source: RNAcentral